GACGAACGCUGGCGGCGUGCCUAAUACAUGCAAGUCGAACGCAUUUUCUUUCACCGUAGCUUGCUACACCGAAAGAAAAUGAGUGGCGAACGGGUGAGUAACACGUGGGUAACCUGCCCAUCAGCGGGGGAUAACACUUGGAAACAGGUGCUAAUACCGCAUAAUUCCAUUUACUGCAUGGUAGAUGGAUGAAAGGCGCUUUUGCGUCACUGAUGGAUGGACCCGCGGUGCAUUGGCUAGAUGGUGGGGUAACGGCCUACCAAGGCUGCGAUGCAUAGCCGACCUGAGAGGGUGAUAGGCCACACUGGGACUGAGACACGGCCCAGACUCCUAGGGGAGGGAGCCGGAGGGAAUCUUCGGCGAUGGACGCAAUGCUGACCGAGCAACGCCGCGUGAGUGAAGAAGGUUUUCGGAUCGUAAAACUCUGUUGUUAGAAAAGAACAAGAAUGAGAGUGGAAAGUUCAUCCCUUGACGGUAUCGAGCCAGAAAGCCACGGCUAACUACGUG
Molecule: ribosomal RNA, 507 nt
Filed under: uncultured bacterium
Lineage: Bacteria
Description: partial 16S ribosomal RNA
Rfam family: Bacterial small subunit ribosomal RNA
Source: RNAcentral